CUGCAUGGCUGUCGUCAGCUCGUGUCGUGAAAUGUUGGGUUAAGUCCCGCAACGAGCGCAACCCUUGUCAUUAGUUGCUACGAAAGGGCACUCUAAUGAGACUGCCGGUGACAAACCGGAGGAAGGUGGGGAUGACGUCAAGUCCUCAUGGCCCUUAUGGGUAGGGCUUCACACGUCAUACAAUGGUCGGGACAGAGGGUCGCCAACCCGCGAGGGGGAGCCAAUCCCAGAAACCCGAUCGUAGUCCGGAUCGCAGUCUGCAACUCGACUGCGUGAAGUCGGAAUCGCUAGUAAUCGCGGAUCAGCAUGUCGCGGUGAAUACGUUCCCGGGUCUUGUACACACCGCCCGUCACACCAUGGGAGUGGGUUUUACCAGAAGUAGUUAGCCUAGCCGCAAGG
This 399-nucleotide ribosomal RNA is filed under the name uncultured beta proteobacterium. RNAcentral's name for it is "bacterial SSU rRNA". It matches the Rfam family "Bacterial small subunit ribosomal RNA", at positions 1041 to 1446 of the family's 1533-position model. The record is from RNAcentral. Lineage: Bacteria; Pseudomonadati; Pseudomonadota; Betaproteobacteria.